GUGGGGAAUCUUCCGCAAUGGGCGAAAGCCUGACGGAGCAACGCCGCGUGAAUGAAGAAGGCCUUCGGGUCGUAAAGUUCUGUCUUAUGGGACGAAGUCCCCAUAUGUAAAUAAUGUAUGGGGUUGACGGUACUAUAGGAGGAAGCUCCGGCUAACUACGUGCCAGCAGCCGCGGUAAUACGUAGGGAGCAAGCGUUGUCCGGAAUUACUGGGCGUAAAGGGCGCGUAGGCGGGUAUUUAAGUCAGGUGUGAAAACUCCGGGCUCAACUUGGAUACUGCACUUGAAACUAGGUAUAUUGAGGGCAGGAGAGGAAAGUGGAAUUCCUAGUGUAGCGGUGAAAUGCGUAGAUAUUAGGAGGAACACCAGUGGCGAAGGCGACUUUCUGGACUGUACCUGACGCUGAGGCGCGAAAGCGUGGGGAGCGAACGGGAUUAGAUACCCGUGUAGUCC
RNAcentral lists this ribosomal RNA (451 nucleotides) under uncultured bacterium. RNAcentral's name for it is "partial 16S ribosomal RNA". It matches the Rfam family "Bacterial small subunit ribosomal RNA", at positions 354 to 796 of the family's 1533-position model. The record is from RNAcentral.